RNAcentral lists this ribosomal RNA (117 nucleotides) under Oscillospiraceae bacterium. The record is from RNAcentral. Lineage: Bacteria; Bacillati; Bacillota; Clostridia; Eubacteriales; Oscillospiraceae.
GUUGGUGUCUAUGGUGAUGAGGGUCCACCCGUUCCCAUCCCGAACACGGUAGUUAAGCUCAUCAACGCCGAAGAUACUUGGCUGGAAGCGGCCCGGGAAAAUAGGACGACGCCAACA